Pipistrellus kuhlii (Kuhl's pipistrelle) is the source of this 140-nucleotide long non-coding RNA. RefSeq lists it as uncharacterized. NCBI's taxonomy places the organism in Eukaryota, Metazoa, Chordata, Mammalia, Chiroptera, Vespertilionidae. The record is from RefSeq and is a predicted model, not a curated record. The transcript has 3 exons.
GAAAACUGAAUCAUUAUUUCCCCUUAGAAGUAAUGUAAAUUGAUUUAAUCCAUUCCAGACUCCCAAAUGACCCCCUCUUUCAACCUUUCUUAUAUACAGUAACUGUCUAAUGCACUGUUUAAUCUAUAAAUAAACAUUUU